UACGAAGGGGGCUAGCGUUGUUCGGAUUUACUGGGCGUAAAGCGCCCGUAGGCGGAUUGUUAAGUGAGGGGUGAAAUCCUGGAGCUCAACUCCAGAACUGCCUUUCAUACUGGCAAUCUAGAGUCCGGAAGAGGUAAGUGGAACUCCUAGUGUAGAGGCGGAAUUCGUAGAUAUUAGGAAGAACACCAGUGGCGAAGGCGGCUUACUGGUCCGGUACUGACGCUGAGGUGCGAAAGCGUGGGGAGCAAACAGG
RNAcentral lists this ribosomal RNA (253 nucleotides) under uncultured bacterium. RNAcentral's name for it is "partial 16S ribosomal RNA". It matches the Rfam family "Bacterial small subunit ribosomal RNA", at positions 524 to 776 of the family's 1533-position model. The record is from RNAcentral.